ACGGAAGGCAGCAGCUAAGAAUAUUCCGCAAUGGACGAAAGUCUGACGGAGCGACGCCGCGUGGAUGAUGAAGGCCGGAAGGUUGUAAAAUCCUUUUGAAUGAGACGAAUAAGCAGGUCAGGGAAUGGGCUUGUGGUGACGGUAUCAUUUGAAUAAGCAACGGCUAAUUACGUGCCAGCAGCCGCGGUAACACGUAAGUUGCGAGCGUUGUUCGGAAUUAUUGGGCGUAAAGGGCAUGUAGGCGGUUUUGCAAGCUUGGUGUGAAAUCCCGGAGCUCAACUCCGGAAUUGCGUUGAGAACUGCAUAACUAGAGUCACUGAGGGGCAAUCAGAAUUCCAGGUGUAGGGGUGAAAUCUGUAGAUAUCUGGAAGAAUACCAAUGGCGAAGGCAGGUUACCAGCAGAUGACUGACGCUGAGGUGCGAAGGUGCGGGGAGCAAACAGGAUUAGAUACCCUGGUA
This 459-nucleotide ribosomal RNA is filed under the name uncultured Treponema sp. RNAcentral's name for it is "bacterial SSU rRNA". It matches the Rfam family "Bacterial small subunit ribosomal RNA", at positions 341 to 792 of the family's 1533-position model. Lineage: Bacteria; Pseudomonadati; Spirochaetota; Spirochaetia; Treponematales; Treponemataceae. The record is from RNAcentral.